ACGAACGCUGGCGGCGUGCUUAACACAUGCAAGUCGCACGGAAAGGCCCUGCUUUUGUGGGGUGCUCGAGUGGCGAACGGGUGAGUAACACGUGAGUAACCUGCCCUUGACUUUGGGAUAACUUCAGGAAACUGGGGCUAAUACCGGAUAGGAGCUCCUGCUGCAUGGUGGGGGUUGGAAAGUUUCGGCGGUUGGGGAUGGACUCGCGGCUUAUCAGCUUGUUGGUGGGGUAGUGGCUUACCAAGGCUUUGACGGGUAGCCGGUCUGAGAGGGUGACCGGCCACAUUGGGACUGAGAUACGGCCCAGACUCCUACGGGAGGCAGCAGUGGGGAAUAUUGCACAAUGGGCGGAAGCCUGAUGCAGCAACGCCGCGUGCGGGAUGACGGCCUUCGGGUUGUAAACCGCUUUCGCCUGUGACGAAGCGUGAGUGACGGUAAUGGGUAAAGAAGCACCGGCUAACUACGUG
RNAcentral lists this ribosomal RNA (467 nucleotides) under uncultured bacterium. RNAcentral's name for it is "partial 16S ribosomal RNA". It matches the Rfam family "Bacterial small subunit ribosomal RNA", at positions 29 to 507 of the family's 1533-position model. The record is from RNAcentral.